GAACGCUGGUGGCAUGCUUAACACAUGCAAGUCGAACGGUACAGGACUAGCUUGCUAGUUGCUGACGAGUGGCGGACGGGUGAGUAACGCGUAGGAAUCUGCCCAUCUGAGGGGGAUACCAGUUGGAAACGACUGUUAAUACCGCAUAGUAUCUGUGGAUUAAAGGUGGCUUUUAGGCUGUCGCAGAUGGAUGAGCCUGCGUUAGAUUAGCUAGUUGGUGGGGUAAGGGCCUACCAAGGCUACGAUCCAUAGCUGAUUUGAGAGGAUGAUCAGCCACAUUGGGACUGAGACACGGCC
RNAcentral lists this ribosomal RNA (297 nucleotides) under uncultured Francisella sp. RNAcentral describes it as "partial 16S ribosomal RNA". It matches the Rfam family "Bacterial small subunit ribosomal RNA", at positions 31 to 331 of the family's 1533-position model. The record is from RNAcentral. Lineage: Bacteria; Pseudomonadati; Pseudomonadota; Gammaproteobacteria; Thiotrichales; Francisellaceae.